Long non-coding RNA from Canis lupus familiaris (dog), 983 nucleotides. RefSeq lists it as uncharacterized. The transcript is spliced from 3 exons. Lineage: Eukaryota; Metazoa; Chordata; Mammalia; Carnivora; Canidae. The record is from RefSeq and is a predicted model, not a curated record.
CUUCCGCGCUCGAGGCCCCCCGGGAGCCCCCGGGCUGCACUCAGCGCGCCCCUACCCCCCUUCUCUAUCUUCCCAGACUCUGGCUACCCCGCCCCAGGGCCUCAAGAACCAGGUUCUCGGCACAGGCUGCGAAGCUGAGCAGGAAGAGGAGAGGGUUACCCCGCAGACGGGGCUCUCCUGGAGCAGCUACUGAAUGUUGCACGCUUGGCAAGGAUGACCUCUCCCCGCAAUGCAGGAGGGAGUACGAGAGUCAGCCCCAUAUUACGCAGUAGAAAACUGGUUGAAGAGGUGAAGUGUCAUGCUCAGGCACUUCCAGGCCUGAGCGCUUCCGGGCACCCAUCAAAAUGCAGCCAGAGAAACAUCCAUUCCCACACUGGGAGGAGGCACAGAGCACGGGAGAGGGUCUCAGGAACCUGCUGAUGCUGCCCAAGGACAUCCACAUGGGACCCCCUUAGAGAUGGUGGUCCCCCACAAGGAUUAUGGUCCCUGGCCAUCUGCCUUCCCAGCUGAGGAGAGAUACAUGGCUCUUGCUUCAGGCCAGAGUGAUGGAAAAGGAGCUUGGCCAGCCCUGCAUCUCCUAAUUCCUAGCUGUGUGGCCUUGGGGAAGCUUCUCUGAGCAUCUGGAUCCUCAUCUGGAGAAUGCCUACCCCAAGGUUUGAUGAAAUGACCAAGAGGCAUGAUGUCUGUCUGUUAGAAACCAAAAAGUGUACUGCAAAAGUGAGGGCUUAUUACCUUCUGUAUCAGGGAGGCCACAAGGCCAGGCACUCUGGUCACACAGCCCGAGUUCCAGUCCCAGCCCCAUCAUAUCCUAACCUGUGUGUCUUUAAGCAAGUAGCUUAACUUCUCUGAGCCUUGAUUUUUUUCAUCUGCAAAAUGGGACUAAUGACGGUAGCUAUCGCAUAAUACUUAUAGUUUGAGGAUGGAAUGAAAUAAUGCCUAUAAAGCAUUAGGUGCCCACCUGGCACAUAAUAAGUCUCAAUAAA